RNAcentral lists this ribosomal RNA (704 nucleotides) under uncultured bacterium. RNAcentral describes it as "bacterial SSU rRNA". It matches the Rfam family "Bacterial small subunit ribosomal RNA", at positions 67 to 751 of the family's 1533-position model. The record is from RNAcentral.
CAGCGCGGGGGCUUCGGUCUCUGGCGGCGAGUGGCGGACGGGUGAGUAAUAUAUGGGAACGCGCCCGGCGGCGGGGGAUAACUCUGGGAAACCAGAGCUAAUACCGCAUGCGUUUCGCCUUUCGGGGCGAAAGAAAGCGGGGGACUUCUUCGGAGGCCUCGCACCGGCGGAGCGGCCCAUAUCCGAUUAGCUUGUUGGCGGGGUAACAGCCCACCAAGGCCGCGAUCGGUAGCUGGUCUGAGAGGACGGACAGCCACACCGGGACUGAGACACGGCCCGGACUCCUACGGGAGGCAGCAGUGGGGAAUAUUGGACAAUGGGGGCAACCCUGAUCCAGCAAUGCCGCGUGUGUGAAGAAGGCCUUCGGGUUGUAAAGCACUUUCGCGGGGGAAGAAAAAGCGAGGGGUAAUAUCUCUCGCGCCUGACGGUACCCCGAGAAGAAGCACCGGCUAACUACGUGCCAGCAGCCGCGGUAAUACGUAGGGUGCGAGCGUUAAUCGGAAUUACUGGGCGUAAAGCGUGCGCAGGCGGCCUGUCAAGUCGGGUGUGAAAUCCCCGGGCUCAACCCGGGAAUUGCGCUUGAAACCGGCGGGCUAGAGUACGGCAGAGGAAGGUGGAAUUCCGUGUGUAGCGGUGAAAUGCGUAGAUAUACGGAAGAACACUCAUGGCGAAGGCAUCCUUCUGGGCCGUAACUGACGCUCAUG